GCGAAAAGAACCCCGGCGAGGGGAGUGAAAAAGAACCUGAAACCGUGUACGUACAAGCAGUAGGAGCCUCUUUAUGGGGUGACUGCGUACCUUUUGUAUAAUGGGUCAGCGACUUAUAUUCUGUAGCAAGGUUAACCGUAUAGGGGAGCCGUAGGGAAACCGAGUCUUAACUGGGCGAAUGAGUUGCAGGGUAUAGACCCGAAACCCGGUGAUCUAUCCAUGGGCAGGUUGAAGGUUGGGUAACACUAACUGGAGGACCGAACCGACUAAUGUUGAAAAAUUAGCGGAUGACUUGUGGAUGGGGGUGAAAGGCCAAUCAAACCGGGAGAUAGCUGGUUCUCCCCGAAAGCUAUUUAGGUAGCGCCUCGUGAACUCAUCUUCGGGGGUAGAGCACUGUUUCGACUAGGGGGUCAUCCCGACUUACCAACUCGAUGCAAACUGCGAAUACCGAAGAAUGUUAUCACGGGAGACACACGGCGGGUGCUAACGUCCGUCGUGAAGAGGGAAACAACCCAGACCGCCAGCUAAGGUCCCAAAGUCAUGGUUAAGUGGGAAACGAAGUGGGAAGGCUCAGACAGCCAGGAUGUUGGCUUAGAAGCAGCCAUCAUUUAAAGAAAGCGUAAUAGCUCACUGGUCGAGUCGGCCCGCGCGGAAGAUGUAACGGGGCUAAACCAU
Molecule: ribosomal RNA, 675 nt
Filed under: Proteus mirabilis
Lineage: Bacteria; Pseudomonadati; Pseudomonadota; Gammaproteobacteria; Enterobacterales; Morganellaceae
Description: partial 23S ribosomal RNA
Rfam family: Bacterial large subunit ribosomal RNA
Source: RNAcentral